CUGCCUGUAGCACAAUGGAUAAUGCGUCAGACUCCGACUCUGAAGAUUGCUGGUUCGAGUCCAGUCAGGCAGGCCA
This 76-nucleotide transfer RNA is filed under the name Eubacterium sp. RNAcentral describes it as "tRNA-Arg". It matches the Rfam family "tRNA". Rfam says of the family: Transfer RNA (tRNA) molecules are approximately 80 nucleotides in length. Their secondary structure includes four short double-helical elements and three loops (D, anti-codon, and T loops). The record is from RNAcentral. Lineage: Bacteria; Bacillati; Bacillota; Clostridia; Eubacteriales; Eubacteriaceae.